AUCAUGAGUUCACAUGUCCGCAUGAUUAAAGGUAUUUUCCGGUAGACGAUGGGGAUGCGUUCCAUUAGAUAGUAGGCGGGGUAACGGCCCACCUAGUCAACGAUGGAUAGGGGUUCUGAGAGGAAGGUCCCCCACAUUGGAACUGAGACACGGUCCAAACUCCUACGGGAGGCAGCAGUGAGGAAUAUUGGUCAAUGGGCGAUGGCCUGUACCAGCCAAGUAGCGUGAAGGAUGACCGCCCUAUGGGUUGUAAACUUCUUUUAUAAAGGAAUAAAGUCGGGUAUGCAUACCCGUUUGCAUGUACUUUAUGAAUAAGGAUCGGCUAACUCCGUGCCAGCAGCCGCGGUAAUACGGAGGAUCCGAGCGUUAUCCGGAUUUAUUGGGUUUAAAGGGAGCGUAGAUGGAUGUUUAAGUCAGUUGUGAAAGUUUGCGGCUCAACCGUAAAAUUGCAGUUGAUACUGGAUGUCUUGAGUGCAGUUGAGGCAGGCGGAAUUCGUGGUGUAGCGGUGAAAUGCUUAGAUAUCACGAAGAACUCCGAUUG
Molecule: ribosomal RNA, 541 nt
Filed under: uncultured bacterium
Lineage: Bacteria
Description: bacterial SSU rRNA
Rfam family: Bacterial small subunit ribosomal RNA
Source: RNAcentral